RNAcentral lists this ribosomal RNA (243 nucleotides) under uncultured bacterium. RNAcentral's name for it is "partial 16S ribosomal RNA". It matches the Rfam family "Bacterial small subunit ribosomal RNA", at positions 91 to 334 of the family's 1533-position model. The record is from RNAcentral.
CCGAGUGGCGGACGGGUGAGUAACGCGUGGGUAACCUGCCUCAUACAGGGGGAUAACGGUUAGAAAUGACUGCUAAUACCGCAUAAGCGCACAGUACCGCAUGGUACGUUGUGAAAAACUCCGGUGGUAUGAGAUGGACCCGCGUCUGAUUAGCUAGUUGGUGGGGUAACGGCCCACCAAGGCGACGAUCAGUAGCCGACCUGAGAGGGUGACCGGCCACAUUGGGACUGAGACACGGCCCAA